Molecule: non-coding RNA, 83 nt
Organism: Oryzias latipes (Japanese medaka)
Lineage: Eukaryota; Metazoa; Chordata; Actinopteri; Beloniformes; Adrianichthyidae
Source: Rfam
ACCAGGAGGGCUGAGUGGUUAAGGCGUUGGACUCAAGAUCCAAUGAGUGUUUGCUCACGUGGGUUCAAAUCCCACUCCUGGUA